GAUGAAGAACGUAGCGAAAUGCGAUAAGUAAUGUGAAUUGCAGAAUUCAGUGAAUCAUCGAAUCUUUGAACGCACAUUGCGCCCCUUGGUAUUCCGAGGGGCAUGCCUGUUCGAGCGUCAUUAUAACCCCUCAAGCUCAGCUUGGUGUUGGGGCCUGCUGCACUGGCAGCCCUUAAAAUCAGUGGCGGCGCCAUCUGGCUCUAAGCGUAGUAAUUCUUCUCGCUAUGGUGUCCUGGUGGAUGCUUGCCAUCAACCCCCAAUUUUUCUAUGGUUGACCUCGGAUCAGGUAGGGAUACCCGCUGAACUUAAGCAUAUCAAUAAGCGGAGGA
This 329-nucleotide unclassified non-coding RNA is filed under the name soil metagenome. RNAcentral describes it as "partial contains 5.8S ribosomal RNA, internal transcribed spacer 2, and large subunit ribosomal RNA". The stretch from base 1 to 120 matches the Rfam family "5.8S ribosomal RNA", at positions 35 to 154 of the family's 154-position model. The record is from RNAcentral.